CCUACGGGUGGCAGCAGUGAGGAAUAUUGGUCAAUGGACGAGAGUCUGAACCAGCCAAGUAGCGUGAAGGAUGACUGCCCUAUGGGUUGUAAACUUCUUUUAUAUGGGAAUAAAAUGUUCCACGUGUGGGAUUUUGUAUGUACCAUAUGAAUAAGGAUCGGCUAACUCCGUGCCAGCAGCCGCGGUAAUACGGAGGAUCCGAGCGUUAUCCGGAUUUAUUGGGUUUAAAGGGAGCGUAGGUGGAUUGUUAAGUCAGUUGUGAAAGUUUGCGGCUCAACCGUAAAAUUGCAGUUGAAACUGGCAGUCUUGAGUACAGUAGAGGUGGGCGGAAUUCGUGGUGUAGCGGUGAAAUGCUUAGAUAUGACGAAGAACUCCGAUUGCGAAGGCAGUUCACUGGACUGCAACUGACACUGAGGCUCGAAAGUGUGGGUAUCAAACAGGAUUAGAUACCCGUGUAGUC
Molecule: ribosomal RNA, 460 nt
Filed under: uncultured bacterium
Lineage: Bacteria
Description: partial 16S ribosomal RNA
Rfam family: Bacterial small subunit ribosomal RNA
Source: RNAcentral